UCUCCUUGUCUGCUCUCUCUUUCAUCUCCUUGUGAGAAAACCCUAACUAUAACACUAACAACAUCACCAUUUCCAUUUGACAAACACAAAACAAGUUCAUCUUCUCAAACAAAAUCAUACAAACAUACACACCUGCACACCAUGUUCCAUCUCCAUCUCUUCCGGUGACCGGAGUAACUCCGGCGCCUCUCCUACUCUGACCGGCCACACCCCUAAAACACCUCCUUCCUCUUCACCUUUAAUCACCCGCAGCCCCCCCCCUCGUCACUUAUGCAGCUCCGACAAACCAUAGGGAGCCCGCGAUUAUGUUGGGGCCGGCCACCACACCUUGGUGGCGGCGGCGACAAGAUCAGAGAGAGAGGAGAGCCGACGUGGUUCAGCGGAGAAGGAAGGACGGAACUGGGAGAGAGAGAUCGAGAGAGUGAGUCCGGGAGAAAGGGGAGCGCCGCCGCCGCUCACGGCGACGGCAGCGGAAGCCGGCGACGGCGAGGAUGGCGGUGGUGUUUUUGUUUCUUUCGACGAGUCUAACCGCGGUGGUGGUCAGUGAAGACGACAGUUAUUUUGCUCGGGUCCCGACUUAAGUGUUAGCCAAACUAGUCAACGAAACGAUUCAGAUUCACUCUUGGUUGGUUCGAGAUACAAGGAGAUGAGAGUGGUAGCUCGGUUCAGUUUUUGUUUAUUUCGAGUCAACUCAGCUGCGUUUCGGGUCAAACCCGGUUGGCUCGGUCAACACCCGAGUCAACUCGGGUCGACAACAGGUCAAGGCAGUCAACAACAGUCAACGCUCGGUCAACACGGGAGGCCCGGUAAAGUUGUUAGCGUAGCAAGUUAGUUACGUUAGAUUUUAGUUAGUUAUACGCGACCGAGCUCGACCCGAAUCGAUUAGCGAUUGGUUACAUUUUAUUUUGUCGUAUUUCAUAA
Molecule: long non-coding RNA, 921 nt
Organism: Helianthus annuus (common sunflower)
Lineage: Eukaryota; Viridiplantae; Streptophyta; Magnoliopsida; Asterales; Asteraceae
Exons: 2
Source: RefSeq, a predicted model, not a curated record